AACGCUAGCUACAGGCUUAACACAUGCAAGUCGAGGGGCAGCAUGGUCUUAGCUUGCUAAGGCCGAUGGCGACCGGCGCACGGGUGAGUAACACGUAUCCAACCUGCCGUCUACUCUUGGACAGCCUUCUGAAAGGAAGAUUAAUACAAGAUGGCAUCAUGAGUCCGCAUGUUCACAUGAUUAAAGGUAUUCCGGUAGACGAUGGGGAUGCGUUCCAUUAGAUAGUAGGCGGGGUAACGGCCCACCUAGUCUUCGAUGGAUAGGGGUUCUGAGAGGAAGGUCCCCCACAUUGGAACUGAGACACGGUCCAAACUCCUACGGGAGGCAGCAGUGAGGAAUAUUGGUCAAUGGGCGAGAGCCUGAACCAGCCAAGUAGCGUGAAGGAUGACUGCCCUAUGGGUUGUAAACUUCUUUUAUAAAGGAAUAAAGUCGGGUAUGGAUACCCGUUUGCAUGUACUUUAUGAAUAAGGAUCGGCUAACUCCGUGCCAGCAGCCGCGGUAAUACGGAGGAUCCGAGCGUUAUCCGGAUUUAUUGGGUUUAAAGGGAGCGUAGAUGGAUGUUUAAGUCAGUUGUGAAAGUUUGCGGCUCAACCGUAAAAUUGCAGUUGAUACUGGAUAUCUUGAGUGCAGUUGAGGCAGGCGGAAUUCGUGGUGUAGCGGUGAAAUGCUUAGAUAUCACGAAGAACUCCGAUUGCGAAGGCAGCCUGCUAAGCUGCAACUGACAUUGAGGCUCGAAAGUGUGGGUAUCAAACAGGAUUAGAUACCCUGGUAGUCCACACGGUAAACGAUGAAUACUCGCUGUUUGCGAUAUACUGCAAGCGGCCAAGCGAAAGCGUUAAGUAUUCCACCUGGGGAGUACGCCGGCAACGGUGAAACUCAAAGGAAUUGACGGGGGCCCGCACAAGCGGAGGAACAUGUGGUUUAAUUCGAUGAUACGCGAGGAACCUUACCCGGGCUUAAAUUGCAGAUGAAUUACGGUGAAAGCCGUAAGCCGCAAGGCAUCUGUGAAGGUGCUGCAUGGUUGUCGUCAGCUCGUGCCGUGAGGUGUCGGCUUAAGUGCCAUAACGAGCGCAACCCUUGUUGUCAGUUACUAACAGGUUCCGCUGAGGACUCUGACAAGACUGCCAUCGUAAGAUGUGAGGAAGGUGGGGAUGACGUCAAAUCAGCACGGCCCUUACGUCCGGGGCUACACACGUGUUACAAUGGGGGGUACAGAGGGCCGCUACCACGCGAGUGGAUGCCAAUCCCCAAAACCUCUCUCAGUUCGGACUGGAGUCUGCAACCCGACUCCACGAAGCUGGAUUCGCUAGUAAUCGCGCAUCAGCCACGGCGCGGUGAAUACGUUCCCGGGCCU
RNAcentral lists this ribosomal RNA (1354 nucleotides) under uncultured bacterium. Its description in RNAcentral is "16S ribosomal RNA". It matches the Rfam family "Bacterial small subunit ribosomal RNA", at positions 32 to 1381 of the family's 1533-position model. The record is from RNAcentral.